Pelobates cultripes (western spadefoot toad) is the source of this 1010-nucleotide non-coding RNA. NCBI's taxonomy places the organism in Eukaryota, Metazoa, Chordata, Amphibia, Anura, Pelobatidae. The record is from the annotation of a GenBank genome assembly.
CUUGACCUUGAUUCCCAUGUGGUAAUUCCUAAGGCCCAGUUUUAAAGAUGGGUUGAUCCCCUCCAGUGGCAGAGAGUAGAAUUUCCAAUUGUUUCUAUUCUGCAUUAUGGAUUAAUUUCUGUAUUCUCUUCCUCAAUGUAUAAGUAAGGUGGCAGUUAUGUAAAAUCAUACACAAUAAAAUCAGGACUAUAAUAACAAGAGGAUAGAAGAAUGAUUUCAUUAUCUGGGAUCCAGUAGGGGACCAACCAGUAAAAGCAUCGUACCAAUGAUGGGCUAAAUCAUUCUGAAUUUGUGUACUCACCUUAAGGAGUUCUCCUUUUAGGAUAUGUGUGGCUACCUGUGUGUGUACUAUAGCAUCAUUAUGUGUAACAAGAUGUUUAAACAUAUUUUGUUUUCCUUUCAUUAAGGAGACAGUAGUCUCAAGAGGUAAAUGGUAAUCUUUAAAAGGCAGAGAGCCUAAUAGGGCCUUAAUAUGUUUGUCUAAAGUGAUUGUGUCACUGAAAUAACAUUGGGUGCCAUUAAGAUCUAACCAGGUAACAUUAGUAAUGACACAUGUACAGCUUGUAAGAAGGCAGUUGUAUUAACACAUGUGGACGGAAUAGGUGUGUGUGUGUCAUUGUUGACUUUUGGUUCUAUGGUAGAGGAUAAAGGACAGUAAUAAGGUGUAAAAAUAUAAGGUAGUGUACAGUUCUCAAUUGCAGUGUUGUUCAUAAUGACUAACAUUUGUCCCCUUUUCCAAUUAAUGGUACCAGUUGUAUAAUCAUUAUUAAAAGUAAUAAGGCCUGUCUGUUUACAUUGAUAUGCAACCUUACUAAUUUUCUUAUAAUAUAUAUCCCAAACCUGUUGAGGUGUUUUUUUCUUACCAUCAGAACUUAUAUUAAAUAAGGUGGCACAGAUGCUAGUGUAAUUAGCAACCUUAACUGUGCACAUUUCUGCAUUAUAAGAUCUAACAAUUUUCUGUGAACCUUCAAACAAACAUAAUGCAUCGGUUUCAUUAGCUGUGGACACAU